GACCUUCCUUUUUGGAUCAAUGGGAACUCCCUCCUGGAAGCCACCAAGUUUUCGGAACUUUAGCAUCCUGUGCCUUAACAACUCUUGGGUGUCCAUUUUUGUAAGUUCAUCCAUUGAUUCUUCUAUAGCAAUUUUUAUCUGCUGUGAAGUCCAAUACGGAUCAGCAUGUGCACCACCAAGAGGCUCAGGGAUGGAACCAUCAGCAAUUUGAAGCCUGCACAGCUCUUGAGCUGUUAUCUUGAGUUUCUCAGCUGCCUUAGGAGAAGCUUUUGCAGUCUUCCACAAAAUUGCUGCACAUGCUUCUGGGCUGGCAACAUAGAAGACAGCAUUUUCAAGCAUCAACAAUUUA
Molecule: unclassified non-coding RNA, 349 nt
Filed under: Hevea brasiliensis (rubber tree)
Lineage: Eukaryota; Viridiplantae; Streptophyta; Magnoliopsida; Malpighiales; Euphorbiaceae
Source: RNAcentral